Non-coding RNA from Callorhinus ursinus (northern fur seal), 291 nucleotides. The record is from RefSeq and is a predicted model, not a curated record. Lineage: Eukaryota; Metazoa; Chordata; Mammalia; Carnivora; Otariidae.
GCUAGGACCAGAAAGUGGGAGUGCUGUGGAGAAACCCCAGGGGCAUUAGCUCAGCCUGAGGGAAAGUGUCCUUGUGAAGGAGCUCAUGAGCGUGAUUAUCUCCAUUCCACAAAUAAGAAAUAUGGAGCUGCUGAGAGGUUCCCCGGGAAGAUGAAGACCAGAGUAACCUUUGAAACCACACACUGAGACUGCAGGACAGCUAUCAGCCUGGGUCCCUGAAGAAUCAUGUAGACAUAUUUGGUUACCAAUCUGGACCAUCACUGGGACUGUUGUGAGAGACAGAAAUAAACU